AUAAAGGCCCGAGCGAGACGAAGAAGUAAGUUGCCUGAUUUCUUUCCAGAAUAAGCGAAGGACUUCAGGCUAAGCUGGGAGUGAGAUUGGACUGGUGCUGAUGGGGGAGAGUUUCAAAUGAUGUAAAUUAAAUUACUAUUUUGCCUCUAUGAUAAUAGAGUCUUGAUGUUUGAAUUACUUAGUUUCUUUUGAGAUCAAGCAAUACACUCACGGUUAUGUGUCUUCAUACAUAUAAUCGGUUCGCC
This is a long non-coding RNA of Salvia miltiorrhiza (redroot sage), 245 nucleotides long. RefSeq lists it as uncharacterized. NCBI's taxonomy places the organism in Eukaryota, Viridiplantae, Streptophyta, Magnoliopsida, Lamiales, Lamiaceae. The transcript is spliced from 2 exons. The record is from RefSeq and is a predicted model, not a curated record.